This 555-nucleotide ribosomal RNA is filed under the name Bacillus sp. (in: firmicutes). Its description in RNAcentral is "bacterial SSU rRNA". It matches the Rfam family "Bacterial small subunit ribosomal RNA", at positions 127 to 668 of the family's 1533-position model. Lineage: Bacteria; Bacillati; Bacillota; Bacilli; Caryophanales; Bacillaceae. The record is from RNAcentral.
UGCCCAUAAGACUGGGAUAACUCCGGGAAACCGGGGCUAAUACCGGAUAACAUUUUGAACUGCAUGGUUCGAAAUUGAAAGGCGGCUUCGGCUGUCACUUAUGGAUGGACCCGCGUCGCAUUAGCUAGUUGGUGAGGUAACGGCUCACCAAGGCAACGAUGCGUAGCCGACCUGAGAGGGUGAUCGGCCACACUGGGACUGAGACACGGCCCAGACUCCUACGGGAGGCAGCAGUAGGGAAUCUUCCGCAAUGGACGAAAGUCUGACGGAGCAACGCCGCGUGAGUGAUGAAGGCUUUCGGGUCGUAAAACUCUGUUGUUAGGGAAGAACAAGUGCUAGUUGAAUAAGCUGGCACCUUGACGGUACCUAACCAGAAAGCCACGGCUAACUACGUGCCAGCAGCCGCGGUAAUACGUAGGUGGCAAGCGUUAUCCGGAAUUAUUGGGCGUAAAGCGCGCGCAGGUGGUUUCUUAAGUCUGAUGUGAAAGCCCACGGCUCAACCGUGGAGGGUCAUUGGAAACUGGGAGACUUGAGUGCAGAAGAGGAAGUGGAAUU